AAAAAAAAAAAAAUUGAAAGUUUUUUUUCAACUCUGUAAGUAUUGAAAACUAUUGAAUUGAUGUAAGGAGAACAUGAGCUUUAUAAAUAAAUCAAAAGUUAAAAAUAAAAUUCUAUUUGAUACAUGCAAAAAGUGAAAAACAUGAAUACAAUUUUCAAGUUUGUUAAUGUUAUGAUAAUCAUUCUUUCCCUAUUUCUUGCUUCAACACGAGUUUCACAUGGUAAACCGUUUUUAUCUCCUUUUCAAAUUUCCUUCUUUCCUGCUUAUACAAUAUUUUAUUCCAUUUUAAUGGCUUUGUUUUUUCUCUUUUUACAUUAAAGCUGUCAUUCCAUGUAAAACUGAUUAUGAUUGUCCGCUAAUUAAAAUCAGCCGAUACAAGCAUUUAACAAGAAUGACGUGCCGUAAAGGUGUUUGUGUAAAUAUAUAACAAUAAUUAUAAAGCUCCAAAGAUUAUAUAAUUGUCAUAUCCAAAAAAAUACACAAACGCACAACAAGAAUACUCCAUCAAUUGCAGAGAGUUUCUUAACAAUAGUAAUCCAUAUAUUACAAGUUAAUCUAUAUUCAUUUUUAUUUUGAUAAAAAUAAUGGAUACUUGAUUUUAAUUUAUAUGUUUUUGUACUUAAUCCCAAUUGGUAAUCUCCCAUCGAUAACAACGAAUCAUACCUUCAAUAUAUAUGAUUUAUCCUAAUUCUUUGAGAUGGAAGGCAUAGACAAGAGUAAUAUGUAGGUUUAUGCCAUUUGCUUUCAAACUAUUUUGUAAUCGAUCGGCUAUCUCUUAUCUCUUAUAUUAUAAACUUGUUAGUGAGAAUGUGUGUAUACAAU
This 822-nucleotide long non-coding RNA is filed under the name Trifolium pratense (red clover). Its description in RNAcentral is "long non-coding RNA (TPRA_LNC006582)". The record is from RNAcentral. Lineage: Eukaryota; Viridiplantae; Streptophyta; Magnoliopsida; Fabales; Fabaceae.